This 497-nucleotide ribosomal RNA is filed under the name uncultured bacterium. Its description in RNAcentral is "partial 16S ribosomal RNA". It matches the Rfam family "Bacterial small subunit ribosomal RNA", at positions 28 to 507 of the family's 1533-position model. The record is from RNAcentral.
GACGAACGCUGGCGGCGUGCCUAAUACAUGCAAGUAGAACGCUGAAGAGAGGAGCUUGCUCUUCUUGGAUGAGUUGCGAACGGGUGAGUAACGCGUAGGUAACCUGCCUUGUAGCGGGGGAUAACUAUUGGAAACGAUAGCUAAUACCGCAUAACAAUGGAUGACACAUGUCAUUUAUUUGAAAGGGGCAAUUGCUCCACUACAAGAUGGACCUGCGUUGUAUUAGCUAGUAGGUGAGGUAAUGGCUCACCUAGGCGACGAUACAUAGCCGACCUGAGAGGGGGAUCGGCAACGCUGGGACUGAGACACGGCCCAGAACCCUACGGGAGGCAGCAGGAGGGGAUCUUCGGCAAUGGGGGCAACCCUGACCGAGCAACGCCGCGUGAGUGAAGAAGGUUUUCGGAUCGUAAAGCUCUGUUGUAAGUCAAGAACGGGUGUGAGAGUGGAAAGUUCACACUGUGACGGUAGCUUACCAGAAAGAGACGGCUAACUACGUG